UGGGGAAUUUUGGACAAUGGGCGAAAGCCUGAUCCAGCCAUGCCGCGUGCGGGAAGAAGGCCUUCGGGUUGUAAACCGCUUUUGUCAGGGAAGAAAUCUUCUGGGCUAAUACCCUGGGAGGAUGACGGUACCUGAAGAAUAAGCACCGGCUAACUACGUGCCAGCAGCCGCGGUAAUACGUAGGGUGCGAGCGUUAAUCGGAAUUACUGGGCGUAAAGCGUGCGCAGGCGGUUUUGUAAGACAGAAGUGAAAUCCCCGGGCUCAACCUGGGAACUGCCUUUGUGACUGCAAAGCUCGAGUACGGCAGAGGGGGAUGGAAUUCCGCGUGUAGCAGUGAAAUGCGUAGAUAUGCGGAGGAACACCGAUGGCGAAGGCAGUCCCCUGGGCCUGUACUGACGCUCAUGCACGAAAGCGUGGGGAGCAAACAGGAUUAGAUACCCUGGUAGUCCACGCCCUAAACGAUGUCAACUGGUUGUUGGGUGGGUUUCUACUCAGUAACGAAGCUAACGCGUGAAGUUGACCGCCUGGGGAGUACGGCCGCAAGGUUG
Molecule: ribosomal RNA, 548 nt
Filed under: uncultured bacterium
Lineage: Bacteria
Description: bacterial SSU rRNA
Rfam family: Bacterial small subunit ribosomal RNA
Source: RNAcentral